Molecule: unclassified non-coding RNA, 2303 nt
Organism: Apis florea (little honeybee)
Lineage: Eukaryota; Metazoa; Arthropoda; Insecta; Hymenoptera; Apidae
Source: RefSeq, a predicted model, not a curated record
UAAAUAACAUUCGAAUAAUUGAUAUUAAGACUGUCAUUUUCAAUUUUUGUGUUUCCCGCAAUUUGAAGCAAAUGAAGUACCAUCGAUGCGCACUGCAUUGUAUAAAUCGAUGCGUCUCAGCCGCGGGCUUUUAGCUACUUUUAGCCUACUCCAAUUUUUCUGCGUCCGGUUUACGGGGUUUUUGCUUUAUUCGAGUGUUUUAAAACAUCAUAAUGUAUAAUUUGAAAAAUAAAAACUUGUAAUGAAUGUGUCUUAUAUUAAAAUACUCUCGAUUAUAUAUUUUCUAUGAAUAUGUUGAUGCAUUUUUUUUAAUAAGCAAUAAGAAUAUGAUCUCAUUUUUUCAUUGUUCGAAUACUUGUCGUAAUUGUGUUGAACAAUUUGUGUGAAAUUAAUAUGUUUCUUGUUAUAUCACUAAUUUACGAAGCUUUAUUAACCCCGGCAAUUUGCGUUCAGCAAUACGGGGACUUGCAUUUAUUAGUUGCAUAAUUAUAUUAAAUAAUGAGAAUCAACGCAACAAAAAUGAGUACUCCGAUCGAGGAGAAGAUUGAUCAGAAAUUGAAGGUAAGAACAGGAAUGGUGAGUGUUAGUGAUGGAAAAAGUAAACCAGUACCAAUGCGUUUACAUCUGUCUAUGGAAGUUUUAAAACUUCAAAGAGAAGAUUUAGAGCAGGCAGCGAAUCAUAAUAAACCUCCAUUAGAUGCUAAAGAAAGAAUGGUACAAAUUACAAGACAAAAAGUUGGAGGCUUAGGAUUAAGUAUAAAAGGAGGAGCAGAACAUAAACUUCCUGUACUUAUAUCUAGAAUUUAUAAAGGCCAAGCAGCUGAUCAAUGUGGCCAACUAUUUGUAGGAGAUGCGAUUAUUAAAGUAAAUGGAGAAUAUAUAACUGCAUGUAAUCAUGAUGAUGCUGUCAACAUUUUAAGAAAUGCUGGUGAUAUAGUAGUUUUAACAGUAAAACAUUAUCGUGCAGCAAAGCCAUUUCUACAAAAAAAUGAAAAAGAAGAAAAAUUAGACAACGUUGCAAAUGGAGGAUCAGAAGAUGAAUGGUUAUCAUCUAAUAGACAAAGUGAUAGUUCUAGAUGUGGUCAUAGUAGACAAAGUUCAAAUGCAUCUGCCACUUCAAUGCAAUAUAAAAAAUGGAUAGAUGUUAUAACAGUUCCAUUAAUGAUGGCUUAUGUGACAAGAUAUAUCUUUGGAACAGAUAAACUAAGAAGAAAUGCAUUUGAAGUAAGAGGAUUAAAUGGUGCACGUACAGGUGUAAUUCAUUGUGAUGAUAGUGCCAUUUUAAGUCAAUGGUUAAAAUAUAUAACAGAUAAUAUUACAGGUUUAACGCAUUUACAGAUGAAAUUAUAUAACCGCAAUUUUGGAGUUGGUGAACGUAUAGAAUAUAUGGGAUGGGUUAAUGAAGCAGUAAGUAAUAGUAAUCAACCAUGGCAAAGUUAUAGACCAAGAUUUUUAGCAUUAAAAGGACCUGAUUUGUUAUUAUUUGAAACUCCUCCUUGCAAUAUAGGAGAUUGGUCACGAUGUGCAUUGACCUUUAAAGUAUAUCAAACAAUGUUUCGCGUAAUGCGAGAAUCCGAAAAUGUUGAUGAAAGACAACAUUGUUUUUUAGCUCAAAGUCCAGGUAAACCACCGCGAUAUUUAAGUGUCGAAACUAGACAAGAACUAUUAAGAGUAGAAGCAGCAUGGCAUACUGCAGUAUGUUCAGCUGUUACACAUUUGAAAAGUAAAACAUUUCCAGUUACUUUUAAUGGGAAAAGUGCAGGUUUAACUCUAGAAUGGACUCAAGGUUUUACACUUUCUUAUGAUGACAUUGGAGAGACUGUAUGGCGUUAUAAAUUUUCACAAUUAAGAGGAUCUAGUGAUGAUGGAAAAAGUAGAUUAAAAUUACAUUUUCAAGAAUCAGAUAGUAUUGCUAUUGAGACAAAGGAAUUGGAAUGUUCUCAAUUGCAGAAUUUAUUAUUCUGUAUGCAUGCAUUUUUAACUGCAAAGGUUGCUGCAGUUGAUCCAACAUUUUUAACAUCAACAACUCCAUAAAAUUGAACCAAGAACGGAAUUGUUGAAGAGGUAUUUGCUAUAACGUGUCAACUCGUGUAUCAAUAUGGCGGCGAAUCUCGAGGAAGAGCAAAGUUUAAGAGAGUGCGAGGAAUACGUACAAAGACACAAUAUUCAACAAGUUUUAAAAGACUGUAUAGUGCAGCUGUGUGUAGGUCGUCCUGAAAAUCCCAUAUCUUUCCUGAGAGAAUACUUUCAAAAACUGGAACGGGGUUGCAUCGUUUUGGAAUAAAUAAAUAAUAAGCAAAAGU